CAAGAAGACCGGAUGACCGCUGCGGCUGCGGGUUCCCGCAACCGGAGAGGAAAGUCCGAGCUCCAUCGGGCAGGGCGCUUCGUAACACGAAGGGGGGGUGACCCUACGGAAAGUGCCACAGAAACUAUACCGGCCUGCUUAUGGCAGACCAAGGUUGAAAAGGUGAGGUAAGAGCUCACCGGCGUUUCGAGAGAUCGAACGGCCGGGUAAACCCCGCCCGGAGCAAGGCCAAAUAGGAGGGCAUAAGGUGCCCGACCUGCCCUCGGGUUGGUCGCUUGACCCUGGCGGCAACGCCAGGGCUAGAUAGAUGGUCAUCGUCCUUCCGGCAGCGGAAGGAUACAGAACUCGGCUUACAGGUCUUCUUGGCCU
This 369-nucleotide RNase P RNA is filed under the name Dehalococcoidia bacterium. RNAcentral describes it as "RNase P RNA component class A". It matches the Rfam family "Bacterial RNase P class A". Rfam says of the family: Ribonuclease P (RNase P) is a ubiquitous endoribonuclease, found in archaea, bacteria and eukarya as well as chloroplasts and mitochondria. Its best characterised activity is the generation of mature 5'-ends of tRNAs by cleaving the 5'-leader elements of precursor-tRNAs. The record is from RNAcentral. Lineage: Bacteria; Bacillati; Chloroflexota; Dehalococcoidia.